Molecule: ribosomal RNA, 497 nt
Filed under: uncultured bacterium
Lineage: Bacteria
Description: partial 16S ribosomal RNA
Rfam family: Bacterial small subunit ribosomal RNA
Source: RNAcentral
GAUGAGCGCUGGCGGCGUGCCUAAUACAUGCAAGUCGAGCGAACAGACGAGGAGCUUGCUCCUCUGACGUUAGCGGCGGACGGGUGAGUAACACGUGGAUAACCUACCUAUAAGACUGGGAUAACUUCGGGAAACCGGAGCUAAUACCGGAUAAUAUAUUGAACCGCAUGGUUCAAUAGUGAAAGACGGUUUUGCUGUCACUUAUAGAUGGAUCCGCGCCGCAUUAGCUAGUUGGUAAGGUAACGGCUUACCAAGGCAACGAUGCGUAGCCGACCUGAGAGGGUGAUCGGCCACACUGGAACUGAGACACGGUCCAGACUCCUACGGGAGGCAGCAGUAGGGACUCUUCCGCAAUGGGCGAAAGCCUGACGGAGCAACGCCGCGUGAGUGAUGAAGGUCUUCGGAUCGUAAAACUCUGUUAUUAGGGAAGAACAAAUGUGUAAGUAACUAUGCACGUCUUGACGGUACCUAAUCAGAAAGCCACGGCUAACUACGUG